RNAcentral lists this small RNA (1015 nucleotides) under Pan troglodytes (chimpanzee). RNAcentral describes it as "retained intron". Lineage: Eukaryota; Metazoa; Chordata; Mammalia; Primates; Hominidae. The record is from RNAcentral.
AGACGCAAGAUGGCGGCUGUGGUGCUGGCGGCGACGCGGUUGCUGCGGGGCUCGGGUUCUUGGGGCUGUUCGCGGCUGAGGUUUGGACCUCCUGCGUACAGACGGUUUAGUAGUGGGGGUGCCUAUCCCAACAUCCCCCUCUCUUCUCCCUUACCUGGAGUACCCAAGCCUGUUUUUGCUACAGUUGAUGGACAGGAAAAGUUUGAAACCAAAGUAACCACAUUGGAUAAUGGGCUUCGCGUGGCAUCUCAGAAUAAGUUUGGACAGUUUUGUACAGUAGGAAUUCUUAUCAAUUCAGGAUCGAGAUAUGAAGCGAAAUACCUUAGUGGAAUUGCUCACUUUUUGGAAAAAUUGGCAUUUUCGAGACACCACCAUGUAUGCUGUGUCUGCUGAUAGCAAAGGCUUGGACACGGUGGUUGGCUUACUGGCCGAUGUGGUUCUGCAGCCCCGGCUAACAGAUGAAGAAGUCGAGAUGACGCGGAUGGCGGUCCAGUUUGAGCUGGAGGACCUGAACCUGCGGCCUGACCCAGAGCCACUUCUCACCGAGAUGAUUCAUGAAGUAAAAUGUCAAACUCGAGAAUGCCCCCGCAUCUCGAACAGUGGUCCUCGGGACACCAGGGGUGGUGGGGAGGGUGCCUCCGUGAUGUUGUCCUUGCAGGUUAUGGAUAUAUACAGAACAUUUUUUUGUUUUUUGAGAUGAGGUUUCUCCACAUUGCCUACACUGGUCUUGCACUCCUGGGCUCAGCUCAGGUGAUCCUCCUGCCUCUGCCUCCCAAGUAGCUGGGAUUACAGGCGUGAGUCACCGCACUCAGCUUAGAACAUUCUUGAUUUCUGAGUCUGCUGUUUAUACAAUGUUCAUAUUUUCCAGUUUUUAUAGUAACUAGGUCUUUACUACUAAACACAAUUAAUCUUAGGCUUUUUGUGAAUUUGUAUUCUGGAGAGGCAGAUUUUACUCUUUUUAUAAAUACGCACACAGCUGCUAUUGCCAGACUGCAAGUAAAAUAUCAGCUUGCGU